CGGUAAUUCCAGCUCCAAUAGCGUAUACUAAAGUUGUUGCAGUUAAAAAGCUCGUAGUUGGAUUUCUGCGGGGACGGAGCGGCCGGUCGCAACUUGCGACUCGAGCUAGCGCUUUCCCCGCAUCCUGCCGCGAACCGUGCUACCAUUAGCUUGGUGGCGCUGGGGAUCGGCUCGAUUACUUUGAGAAAAAUAGAGUGUUCAAAGCAGGCCACACGCCUUGAAUAAGUUAGCAUGGAAUAAUGACUAAGGACUUCGGUUCUAUUUUGUUGGUGUUCGGGACUGAAGUAAUGAUUGAUAGGGACAGUUGGGGCGGUCUGUAUUCCAAAGCGAGAGGUGAAAUUCUUAGACCUUCGGAAGACAAACAGCUGCGAAAGCGUUCCGCAAGGAUGUUCCCUUUGAUCAAGAACGAAAGUUGGGGGAUCGAAGACGAUCAGAUACCGUCGUAGUCUCAACUAUAAACUAUACCAGCUAGGGAUCGGUCAACGUUUAAUCAUUCGACUUGAUCGGCACCUUAUGAGAAAUCAAAGCAUCUGGGUUCCGGGGGAGUAUGGUCGCAAGGCUGAAACUUAAAGGAAUUGACGGAAGGGCACCACCAGCCGUGGAGCCUGUGGCUUAAUUUGACUCAACACGGGAAAACUUACCAGGUCCAGACAUAGUAAGGAUUGACAGAUUGAUAGCUCUUUCUUGAUUCUGUGGGUGGUGGUGCAUGGCCGUUCUUAGUUGGUGGAGUGAUUUGUCUGGUUAAUUCCGUUAACGAACGAGACCCCAGCCUGCUAAAUAGCGCGGCUGAGCUUUGCUCGGUGCGAGCUUCUUAGAGGGACUAUGAUGCGCGAUAGCACAUGGAAGUUUGGGGCAAUAACAGGUCUGUGAUGCCCUUAGAUGUUCUGGGCCGCACACGGGCUACACUGGCGCCUGCAACGAGCAUAUCAGCUGGCCCGAGAGGGUCUUGGCUAAUCUUUUGAACCGGCGCCGUGCUUGGGAUUGACCAUUGCAAUUGUUGGUCAUGCAACGAGGAAUGCCUUGUAAACGCGAGUCAUCAGCUCGCAUUGAAUACGUCCCUGCCCUUUGUACACACCGCCCGUCGCUCCUACCGAUGAAUGUUCCGAUGAAAUUUUCGGAGAGCGCCAGAGAACGGGGCUCUGCCUUGCAGAUCUGGAGGCUCAAAGUCACUUAAAUCUGAACAUUUCGAGGAAGGAGAAGUCGUAACAAGGUAACC
This 1216-nucleotide ribosomal RNA is filed under the name uncultured Rhizaria. Its description in RNAcentral is "SSU rRNA". It matches the Rfam family "Eukaryotic small subunit ribosomal RNA", at positions 577 to 1804 of the family's 1831-position model. The record is from RNAcentral.